CUUUGGAUUUGCUGUGUUUUUAGUAUUUGAUGUGUUUUUACCUUAUGUUAUUGUAUGCUUUUAUUUUGAAAUGUCGUGUGUGUGUUUUUAAACGUUGGUUUUACUUCCGCCAUCGGACAUGUAGCCUAAUUAGGAUUAAGGAUUUGCACCUGGGGACCAGAGAAUGGAUUGACUGUUUUAGAUAUAAAAAGGAGAGAGGAGAGGGGCGCACGACGGAGGACACAGAGACCACAACGGCACAAUGGGGCGGACAGAACGAAGCAGACAGGCAGGCAGGCAGGCAGGCAGGCAGGCAGGCAGGCAGGCAGGCAGGCAGACAGACAGAGACACAGAGACCGGGAGGCCUGAGAAUACACCGAGGAAAACGUAAACACCGACUGCUAGCGGCUACAGUGGGAGAAGGCUUUGUCCGAGGAGAGGAGCCAGGCGAGAAGAAGGUGGUCGCCAGCGGAUCCCGUGGACUGUCAUUUAACCUCCCACUCCUGUUCUGCUGCAUUAUUUUAGCUUGGUUUUAGUUGGUUGUGCUUAUUGCUUUUAAUUUCAUUUAAGGAGGAACUUUAGUUGUUUUAUUCCUCUUUAAAUAAAUCUGUUAUCCCUCUACCAGUUUGUACUCACUGUUUUAAAUACCACUGGUUUUAACUGCUCUCCCCCGACAUAAAGGACCUGUUAAUCUUUUAUCUCAAAUUUGAAAGUUGGUAGUUUUAAGAGGUCCUAGGCCUCAGUCAAACCUAGAUGGCGUUGUCGGCCCCCAUUUCAACUUAUCCACGCCUUACCUUUAUCCUGGGCUUUAUGAAUCUGCCUCAAAACACAUCCUGACACAGUCCGAAGGACAGGAAGUUAGUUUGUUUGUUUCGAGCAAAUCAACACAAACUGUCAAACUGGUACGGAUAAUACAUAUGAUAAGCAUAAACAUUGAGUGAGAGUUAUGUUAAUGAAAAUAAAUUCUUUAUGCUGAUUGAUUUUGAUUGAUCAUAACUUGUCUGAUUGCUUUCAAAAGAUUGAUUUUUCUUAACUAUCUGCAGCUGUAGUCAGAUAGCAGCUCCACUCGGAGCAGAUGGAGCUACAGAGUUCAAACAAACGCACCUUUUUGUUUUAUCUUUUGUCAUUUGAUUUUCCUCUGUGAAACACUGAAACUUAACUAAACCGAGGUGAGACCCGUCAAAGUUGACAUCACCACCAGACAUAAGAUUUAGCCUCCCUUCCACCAAAAUAAUUUGUUUACAGUCCCUAAAAUAGAACAAAACGUGUAAGCAAUUAUACUGUCCUAUAAGAUAUGAAAAAUAGCAGUUAAAAAUGUUAUUUAGACAAAAUGUAAACCUAUGAAAUAUUUUAUAUUAUAUAAAAACAUUUUCACACAAUUUGCGAAAUUCUACUCCAAUGAGCAAAACAUUACACACAGUGAUUUGUAAAACUCUACACACAUUUUCACACCUUAGACACAGAUAAGGAUAAGGAACGAAUUGGAUAAACACAUCCACCAGGUGUGGAAGUACACAUGUGCUAAUUUGAAAACGCAGUACUCAGGUGUACUAUAAAAGGCAGCAGGUGAGUUCACCGGUCUUCAACAUAAAUGGAAGGAGCUAGAAGAAGAGUGAGAAUGAGAGGGGGAGCUCAAAGAGGAGAUGAAGGAGGUAGAGGAAGAGGAGAAGGACUUGGAGCCUGUGAUGUGGAUGAAAUCUUGUUGCUUUUACAGUAGUUUUUUUUCCAGAGUCAAAGUGUAUGUACUUCAUGCAGUAAUGUUUAUUUGUUUACAGAUUUUAUUUGUUUCGUUGAUUUCAUUGUUGGUUGAUUACUGUAACUGAUUAUGGUAAGACAUACUGUAAGUAUUGAAAUAAAUACUUGAAAUAUUCA
Molecule: long non-coding RNA, 1851 nt
Organism: Perca fluviatilis (European perch)
Lineage: Eukaryota; Metazoa; Chordata; Actinopteri; Perciformes; Percidae
Exons: 2
Source: RefSeq, a predicted model, not a curated record